CAGUAGCCGCGGGAAUACGGAGGAUCCAAGCGUUAUCCGGAUUUAUUGGGUUUAAAGGGUGCGUAGGCGGCCAAUUAAGUCAGGGGUGAAAGACGGUAGCUUAACUAUCGCAGUGCCUUUGAUACUGAUUGGCUUGAAUGGACUAGAGGUAGGCGGAAUGUGACAAGUAGCGGUGAAAUGCAUAGAUAUGUCACAGAACACCAAUUGCGAAGGCAGCUUACUAUGGUUUAAUUGACGCUGAGGCACGAAAGCGUGGGGAUCAAACAGGAUUAGAUACCCCGGUAGUCCCUGUCUCUUAUAC
Molecule: ribosomal RNA, 301 nt
Filed under: uncultured bacterium
Lineage: Bacteria
Description: partial 16S ribosomal RNA
Rfam family: Bacterial small subunit ribosomal RNA
Source: RNAcentral